GAAGUUUUCAGAGAUGAGAAUGUGCCUUCGGGAACCGUGAGACAGGUGCUGCAUGGCUGUCGUCAGCUCGUGUUGUGAAAUGUUGGGUUAAGUCCCGCAACGAGCGCAACCCUUAUCCUUUGUUGCCAGCGGUUAGGCCGGGAACUCAAAGGAGACUGCCAGUGAUAAACUGGAGGAAGGUGGGGAUGACGUCAAGUCAUCAUGGCCCUUACGACCAGGGCUACACACGUGCUACAAUGGCGCAUACAAAGAGAAGCGACCUCGCGAGAGCAAGCGGACCUCAUAAAGUACGUCGUAGUCCGGAUUGGAGUCUGCAACUCGACUCCAUGAAGUCGGAAUCGCUAGUAAUCGUGGAUCAGAAUGCCACGGUGAAUACGUUCCCGGGCCUUGUACACACCGCCCGUCACACCAUGGGAGUGGGUUGCAAAAGAAGUAGGUAGCUUAACCUUCGGGAGGGCGCUUACCACUUUGUGAUUCAUGACUGGGGUGAAGUCGUAACAAGGUAACCGUAGGGGAACCUGCGGUUGGAUCACCUCCUUACCUUAAAGAAGC
Molecule: ribosomal RNA, 552 nt
Filed under: Salmonella enterica subsp. enterica serovar Kentucky
Lineage: Bacteria; Pseudomonadati; Pseudomonadota; Gammaproteobacteria; Enterobacterales; Enterobacteriaceae
Description: bacterial SSU rRNA
Rfam family: Bacterial small subunit ribosomal RNA
Source: RNAcentral